Molecule: long non-coding RNA, 788 nt
Organism: Oreochromis niloticus (Nile tilapia)
Lineage: Eukaryota; Metazoa; Chordata; Actinopteri; Cichliformes; Cichlidae
Exons: 2
Source: RefSeq, a predicted model, not a curated record
GUUCAUUGAUUUGUAGGGUGAGCCAAUACAUGUGACAACUAAAGUGUAAGUAGCUGAAAUAAUUUUUAACAAACGGGUAAAAGAAGGAAAAAAAUUCAAAACUGUUGCACUCAAAAAACCUAUUGGACAGAGACAGCUUCUUGUAAGAUGGUGAGAGAGCUUGUCUCCAUUGUUGUUCACCUCGUGUAAAUGUCCAGAAAGCAUGGGCCAUGGAUCAUCUGUGGAGACACAGGUAAAAACACAUUGUUCACUUAAAUUAUACAAGAAAUUCACUAUAAAUGGCAACAACAGUUACUAAUUUAUUAAUAUAUGAGGUUCAAUUCAAGAAAUUCCAUUUGAGUGUGGCUGCAACUUACUCCUUAAGUUAAAAAUGUCACGGCCCGUGGCUUGGCAUCCAGGGAGCCGGGGGAGGCUGCAGUGGCCACACCCUCGGGCUGGGCCGCCUCCAAACCACCUGCGUCUCAUCUGAGGCAAUCACCGGAGGGCUACUUCUGCCAGCUCUGACGGCUUCUCCCCGCCAGUCCGUACAAGUCUUCCUAGCGUGACCUGCAUUCAGCGUGGAAAUCCGUGGCCUGCCUGUCCUCCUGUCUCCCUCCCAAGGAUUCCCUCCACGGGCUCCUCCCCCUCCAAGCUCCACGGUCCUGCUCUACCCUUUCCCCUCGGUCCCGAUUGCGGUGCUCCUGGGCUCCGCGCACCUUGUUUUCCCGUGGCACGAGCCUUAGCUUUUCGUUUCCUUAAGCGUUGUUAAAAGAUUCCUCAGUUCAAUAAAAACUUGUAUAUAGUUCUGA